This 497-nucleotide ribosomal RNA is filed under the name uncultured bacterium. RNAcentral describes it as "partial 16S ribosomal RNA". It matches the Rfam family "Bacterial small subunit ribosomal RNA", at positions 28 to 507 of the family's 1533-position model. The record is from RNAcentral.
GAUGAACGCUGGCGGCGUGCUUAAUACAUGCAAGUCGAGCGAACAGAUGCGGAGCUUGCCUCUCUGACGUUAGCGGGGGACGGGAGAGUAACACGCGGAUAAACUAGCUAUAAGUAUGGGAUCACUACGGGAAAUAGGAGCUCAUACCGGCUAAUAUAUAGAACCGCAUGGCUCAAUAGUGAAAGCGGGUUUUGCUGCCACUUAUAGAUGGAUCAGUGUCGCAUUAGCUAGUUGGUAAGGUAACGGCUUACCAAGGCAACGAUGCGUAGCCGGCCUGAGAGGGUGAUCAGCCACACUGGGACUGAGACACGGUCCAGACUCCUACGGGAGGCAGCAGUAGGGAAUCUUGGACAAUGGGCGAAAGCCUGACGCAGCAACGCCGCGUGAAGGAUGAAGGUCUUCGGGUCGUAAAACGCUGUUGUAAGGGAAGAACAAGUGUUGGUGAAACUAUGCACCUCUUGACGGUACCGUAUCAAUAAGCCCCGGCUAACUACGUG